ACGGGGUGCAGCAGGCGCGAAACCUUUGCAAUGUGCGAAAGCACGACAAGGUUAAUCCGAGUGUCUCCUGCUAAAGGAGUCUUUUGUCAGUUGUAGAAUCACUGAUGAAUAAGGGGUGGGCAAGUUCUGGUGUCAGCCGCCGCGGUAAAACCAGCACCUCGAGUGGUCAGGAGGUUUAUUGGGCCUAAAGCACCCGUAGCCGGUUGCAUAAGUUUUCGGUUAAAUCUAUGCGCUCAACGUAUAGGCCGCCGAAAAUACUGUGCAGCUAGGGAGUGGGAGAGGUACACGGUACUCAAUAGGAAGGGGUAAAAUCCUUCGAUCUAUAGAUGACCACCUGUGGCGAAGGCGGUGUACCAGAACACGUUCGACGGUGAGGGAUGAAAGCUGGGGGAGCAAACCGGAUUAGAUACCCGGGUAGUCCCAGCUGUAAACGAUGCAGACUCGGUGAUGCAUUGGCUUGUGGCCAAUGCAGUGCCGCAGGGAAGCCGUUAAGUCUGCCGCCUGGGAAGUACGUACGCAAGUAUGAAACUUAAAGGAAUUGGCGGGGGAGCAC
This 553-nucleotide ribosomal RNA is filed under the name uncultured Nitrososphaerota archaeon. RNAcentral's name for it is "bacterial SSU rRNA". It matches the Rfam family "Archaeal small subunit ribosomal RNA", at positions 325 to 879 of the family's 1478-position model. Lineage: Archaea; Thermoproteati; Nitrososphaerota. The record is from RNAcentral.